CUGUUAUAACACUGUCCCAAAUCAGAAUCAUGUAUUUAGCGGUUGUCGUUUGUUUUGAAUGUCAUAUUUGUUUUUCGUUUUAAUUCACAAAUCAAGGAGUUAUUAUUUUUCGUUUCGUUUGCUUUACAUUCGUUAUUUCGGGGUCUUUUAUAGAUUAUUACAUGUAUGCGGUAAGAGUUUUGCUCGUUGUUAAAGGUCAAACACUAUCCUAUAUAUGUUAUAUGUUAUUUUGUCGCUGGUGGAGGAUGUUCUCAAUAGCAAACAUAUCAUAUUUUCUUUUUUAACUUUUAGUAAUAUGUUGAUGGUAUCGCAAACUUAUUUCGAAGUUGAGCCUAUUUUAUUGAUUUUGUUCAUGUGCGUCUACCCAAUAACACUAUUGGAUUCAGCUAAUGGAGGUCUGGCCUAAGCCAAUAUAAC
Molecule: long non-coding RNA, 417 nt
Filed under: Mytilus galloprovincialis (Mediterranean mussel)
Lineage: Eukaryota; Metazoa; Mollusca; Bivalvia; Mytilida; Mytilidae
Source: RNAcentral